CCUACGGGUGGCUGCAGUGAGGAAUAUUGGUCAAUGGGCGGGAGCCUGAACCAGCCAAGUCGCGUGAGGGAAGACGGUCCUAUGGAUUGUAAACCUCUUUAGGCGGGGAGCAAUGCCGGGCCCGCGUGCCCGGAGGGAGAGUACCCGCAGAAUACGCAUCGGCUCACUCCGUGCCCGCAGCCGCGGUAAUACGGAGGAUGCGAGCGUUAUCCGGAUUUAUUGGGUUUAAAGGGUGCGUACGCGGAUUUUUAAGUCAGCUGUGAAAGUCCGCGGCUCAACCGUGGAAUUGCAGUUGAAACUGGAGGUCUUGAGUGCACACAGGGAUGCCGGAAUUCAUGGUGUAGCGGUGAAAUGAGUAGAUAUCAUGAAGAACUCCGAUCGCGAAGGCAAGUGUCCGGGGUGCAACUGACGCUGAGGCUCGAAAGUGCGGGUAUCAAACAGGAUUAGAUACCCUGGUAGUC
Molecule: ribosomal RNA, 461 nt
Filed under: uncultured bacterium
Lineage: Bacteria
Description: partial 16S ribosomal RNA
Rfam family: Bacterial small subunit ribosomal RNA
Source: RNAcentral